GACGAACGCUGGCGGCGUGCUUAAUACAUGCAAGUCAACUGAACUUGAGGUAGCAAUAUUUCAAGGGAGGUGGCGCACGGGUGAGUAACACGUAGGUAAUCUGCCUUUAGGUCUGACAUAAUUCCGCGAAAGCGGGACUAAUAUCAGAUGAUGCAGCGGCUCGACAUCGAGACAGUUGUUAAACCUUCGGGGCCGUAAAGAUGAGCCUGCGUCUGA
Molecule: ribosomal RNA, 216 nt
Filed under: uncultured bacterium
Lineage: Bacteria
Description: partial 16S ribosomal RNA
Rfam family: Bacterial small subunit ribosomal RNA
Source: RNAcentral